Molecule: long non-coding RNA, 377 nt
Filed under: Eutrema salsugineum
Lineage: Eukaryota; Viridiplantae; Streptophyta; Magnoliopsida; Brassicales; Brassicaceae
Description: long non-coding RNA (ESAL_LNC001647)
Source: RNAcentral
UAGCUGCUGCCAAAAGCAGUACGGGAGAUCACAUCUGCAGUCAUACUCACAAGCCAAGGCCAAACAUCCACCUCACAUGAGGACCCUUUAUCCGAGACUAACUUGUCCCAUUUGCCUACGACCUCGCUGCAGCUCUGGUGGAAAGCAGGUACCAUAUUCUAAUACAUAGAAGCAUAAGUCACUAAUAUGGUCAGGCAAAUGGUAUUUAAACUAAUCUAACCCUGUUUCAGGGUGCUAUGUAAUAGAAGUCAAAACCUUGAUCUUUUCAAGGUGGAAAGCCGGGUUGAUGAUUCUCCGGUGUUUCGCCCAUUUAUCACCAUCAUAGUUAGCGAGUCCAGUGGCUAUCAAUUUGCCUAAUGGGAAUGUAUGCGGUUUCU